This 253-nucleotide ribosomal RNA is filed under the name uncultured bacterium. RNAcentral describes it as "partial 16S ribosomal RNA". It matches the Rfam family "Bacterial small subunit ribosomal RNA", at positions 524 to 776 of the family's 1533-position model. The record is from RNAcentral.
UACGUAGGUGGCAAGCGUUGUUCGGAAUUACUGGGCGUAAAGCGAGCGUAGUCGGUUAUUUAAGUCGGGUGUGAAAGCCCCCGGCUCAACUGGGGAGGGUCACGCGAUACUGAUCGACUCGAAGGCAGGAGAGGGUAGUGGAAUUCCCGGUGUAGUGGUGAAAUGCGUAGAUAUCGGGAGGAACACCAGUGGCGAAGGCGACUACCUGGCCUGUUCUUGACGCUGAGGCGCGAAAGCUAGGGGAGCAAACGGG